Molecule: ribosomal RNA, 349 nt
Filed under: uncultured bacterium
Lineage: Bacteria
Description: bacterial SSU rRNA
Rfam family: Bacterial small subunit ribosomal RNA
Source: RNAcentral
AAUGAACGCUGGCGGCGCGCCUAAUACAUGCAAGUCGAGCGAGAAGACGUAGCAAUACGUUUGUAAAGCGGCGAACGGGUGAGGAAUACAUGGGUAACCUACCCUCGAGUGGGGAAUAACUAGCCGAAAGGUUAGCUAAUACCGCGUACGCUCCUUGGACUUCGGUUCAGGGAGGAAAGCGAUACCGUGGGUAUCGCGCUCUUGGUUGGGCUCAUGUCCUAUCAGCUUGUUGGUGAGGUAACGGCUCACCAAGGCUUCGACGGGUAGCUGGUCUGAGAGGACGAUCAGCCACACUGGCACUGCGACACGGGCCAGACUCCUACGGGAGGCAGCAGUAAGGAAUAAUUGC